Molecule: ribosomal RNA, 461 nt
Filed under: Acanthamoeba sp.
Lineage: Eukaryota; Discosea; Longamoebia; Acanthamoebidae
Also listed under: 1 other name
Description: SSU rRNA
Rfam family: Eukaryotic small subunit ribosomal RNA
Source: RNAcentral
GGCCCAGAUCGUUUACCGUGAAAAAAUUAGAGUGUUCAAAGCAGGCAGAUCCAAUUUUCUGCCACCGAAUACAUUAGCAUGGGAUAAUGGAAUAGGACCCUGUCCUCCUAUUUUCAGUUGGUUUUGGCAGCGCGAGGACUAGGGUAAUGAUUAAUAGGGAUAGUUGGGGGCAUUAAUAUUUAAUUGUCAGAGGUGAAAUUCUUGGAUUUAUGAAAGAUUAACUUCUGCGAAAGCAUCUGCCAAGGAUGUUUUCAUUAAUCAAGAACGAAAGUUAGGGGAUCGAAGACGAUCAGAUACCGUCGUAGUCUUAACCAUAAACGAUGCCGACCAGCGAUUAGGAGACGUUGAAUACAAAACACCACCAUCGGCGCGGUCGUCCUUGGCGUCGGUCCUUCGGGGCCGGCGCGAGGGCGGCUUAGCCCGGUGGCACCGGUGAAUGACUCCCCUAGCAGCUUGUGAGA